ACACUCCUGCGGGAGGCAGCAGUGGGGAAUUUUGGACAAUGGGCGAAAGCCUGAUCCAGCAAUGCCGCGUGAGUGAAGAAGGCCUUCGGGUUGUAAAGCUCUUUUGUCAGGGAAGAAACGGUGAGAGCUAAUAUCUUUUGCUAAUGACGGUACCUGAAGAAUAAGCACCGGCUAACUACGUGCCAGCAGCCGCGGUAAUACGUAGGGUGCAAGCGUUAAUCGGAAUUACUGGGCGUAAAGCGUGCGCAGGCGGUUUUGUAAGGCUGAUGUGAAAUCCCCGGGCUCAACCUGGGAAUUGCAUUGGAGACUGCAAGGCUAGAAUCUGGCAGAGGGGGGUAGAAUUCCACGUGUAGCAGUGAAAUGCGUAGAUAUGUGGAGGAACACCGAUGGCGAAGGCAGCCCCCUGGGUCAAGAUUGACGCUCAUGCACGAAAGCGUGGGGAGCAAACAGGAUUAGAAACCCUAGUAGUCCCAUGA
RNAcentral lists this ribosomal RNA (476 nucleotides) under uncultured organism. RNAcentral's name for it is "partial 16S ribosomal RNA". It matches the Rfam family "Bacterial small subunit ribosomal RNA", at positions 333 to 800 of the family's 1533-position model. The record is from RNAcentral.